RNAcentral lists this unclassified non-coding RNA (203 nucleotides) under Hevea brasiliensis (rubber tree). The record is from RNAcentral. Lineage: Eukaryota; Viridiplantae; Streptophyta; Magnoliopsida; Malpighiales; Euphorbiaceae.
GUCAUUGCAUAGGACGCCUUAUUUUUAUUUAUUCAUGUUUGCUCAUUUCUUUAACUUUCAUAUUUAUUUGUUUGCUUAUAAAACAAAAUAAACAUAGAAUAAGGUUUUGGAUGUGAAAAUUUGUUUUGUGGUUAUCGUACUGAUUGGGUUUUUCAAUUUGAAGCUCUUAUUAUUGGAUUUGGAUGACAUUAAUGAAAAUUGAG